GUGUGUGGUUUGCCGUCUGCCUGUGUGUGUGUGGCUGUGAUUGUAUGUAUAAAACUGUAUGCCUGUAUGUUUGUAUGACUGUCUGCCUGUGUGUGUGUGUAUAUGACUGUCUGCCUGUGUGUGUUUGUGACUGUGUGUAUGACUGUCUGCCUGCGUUUGUGUGUGUCUGUCUGUGACUACCUGUGUGUCUGUGACUGCCUGUGUGCGUUUCUGUGACUGUCUGCCUGUGUGUGC
Molecule: non-coding RNA, 234 nt
Organism: Pelobates cultripes (western spadefoot toad)
Lineage: Eukaryota; Metazoa; Chordata; Amphibia; Anura; Pelobatidae
Source: the annotation of a GenBank genome assembly